AAAUUGAAGAGUUUGAUCAUGGCUCAGAUUGAACGCUGGCGGCAGGCCUAACACAUGCAAGUCGAACGGUAACAGGAAGCAGCUUGCUGCUUUGCUGACGAGUGGCGGACGGGUGAGUAAUGUCUGGGAAACUGCCUGAUGGAGGGGGAUAACUACUGGAAACGGUGGCUAAUACCGCAUAACGUCGCAAGACCAAAGAGGGGGACCUUCGGGCCUCUUGCCAUCAGAUGUGCCCAGAUGGGAUUAGCUUGUUGGUGAGGUAACGGCUCACCAAGGCGACGAUCCCUAGCUGGUCUGAGAGGAUGACCAGCCACACUGGAACUGAGACACGGUCCAGACUCCUACGGGAGGCAGCAGUGGGGAAUAUUGCACAAUGGGCGCAAGCCUGAUGCAGCCAUGCCGCGUGUAUGAAGAAGGCCUUCGGGUUGUAAAGUACUUUCAGCGGGGAGGAAGGUGUUGUGGUUAAUAACCGCAGCAAUUGACGUUACCCGCAGAAGAAGCACCGGCUAACUCCGUGCCAGCAGCCGCGGUAAUACGGAGGGUGCAAGCGUUAAUCGGAAUUACUGGGCGUAAAGCGCACGCAGGCGGUCUGUCAAGUCGGAUGUGAAAUCCCCGGGCUCAACCUGGGAACUGCAUUCGAAACUGGCAGGCUUGAGUCUUGUAGAGGGGGGUAGAAUUCCAGGUGUAGCGGUGAAAUGCGUAGAGAUCUGGAGGAAUACCGGUGGCGAAGGCGGCCCCCUGGACAAAGACUGACGCUCAGGUGCGAAAGCGUGGGGAGCAAACAGGAUUAGAUACCCUGGUAGUCCACGCCGUAAACGAUGUCUACUUGGAGGUUGUGCCCUUGAGGCGUGGCUUCCGGAGCUAACGCGUUAAGUAGACCGCCUGGGGAGUACGGCCGCAAGGUUAAAACUCAAAUGAAUUGACGGGGGCCCGCACAAGCGGUGGAGCAUGUGGUUUAAUUCGAUGCAACGCGAAGAACCUUACCUGGUCUUGACAUCCACAGAACUUUCCAGAGAUGGACUGGUGCCUUCGGGAACUGUGAGACAGGUGCUGCAUGGCUGUCGUCAGCUCGUGUUGUGAAAUGUUGGGUUAAGUCCCGCAACGAGCGCAACCCUUAUCCUUUGUUGCCAGCGAUUAGGUCGGGAACUCAAAGGAGACUGCCAGUGAUAAACUGGAGGAAGGU
This 1183-nucleotide ribosomal RNA is filed under the name Salmonella enterica subsp. enterica serovar Choleraesuis. RNAcentral describes it as "bacterial SSU rRNA". It matches the Rfam family "Bacterial small subunit ribosomal RNA", at positions 1 to 1174 of the family's 1533-position model. The record is from RNAcentral. Lineage: Bacteria; Pseudomonadati; Pseudomonadota; Gammaproteobacteria; Enterobacterales; Enterobacteriaceae.